Molecule: ribosomal RNA, 253 nt
Filed under: uncultured bacterium
Lineage: Bacteria
Description: partial 16S ribosomal RNA
Rfam family: Bacterial small subunit ribosomal RNA
Source: RNAcentral
UACGGAGGGUGCGAGCGUUGUCCGGAAUCAUUGGGCGUAAAGGGCGCGUAGGUGGCGCGGUAAGCGUGCGGUGAAAGCUCGGGGCUCAACCCCGAGUCGGCCGUGCGAACUGCCGGGCUUGAGCACUGUAGAGGCAGGCGGAAUUCCGGGUGUAGCGGUGGAAUGCGUAGAGAUCCGGAAGAACACCGGUGGCGAAGGCGGCCUGCUGGGCAGUAGCUGACACUGAGGCGCGACAGCGUGGGGAGCAAACAGG